UUUAUAAUCAUCAAAUUAAUGUAAAAGAAUACUUAAAAUAUUUAAAGGUUAAAUGUUCUGGUUAAUGGCAAUGAGUCAAUUAAGUAUAUAAACAGGGGCCGCGGUUUAAAUACAGCCCCGGAUUGCCGCGGAGGAGAAGGAUAACCGGUGUCUAUUUUUAGCAGCACAAUAACUUCUUUAUGAUUGCUCCUCAAAGUCAUUGACUACCCGUCGUCGACCGCAAAGGUUGUGCUUCUCUCCUUUACUCUUCGCGUUUAUGCGUGUGUGUAAGUACGAGGAAACACACUGGCGCCAAAAUACUUCUCUACACUUCUUCUCUUUGCGUGUAUUGGGUAGAGAGUCGUUGUCGUCUUUAUAUUUUCACACCUGCGUGCCAAUUGCUACGACGGCUCGUGUGUAUUCAUCAUCCUUUUACUUUAAAAGACGAUUUAUUUUUUUAGUGCUGUUAAAGGCAAGGUGACUCGGACAAUUCCUUGGCAGAAAGUUCCAGUUUAUAUUUGAAAAUAUCAAAAAUGUUUCAGCAAAACUAUAGUUUAGACACUUGGAGGAAAAAAGACUUAUAACAAAAUUAUUUCUGGGAUAUGAUUACAAUCAAGGUUCUAGAGAACCAAAAUCACUUACCAGCUUGGAUAUUAAUAAAGAAGACUGCAUAAUUAUUGUUGUAUAAUAGUUCAUAAUUAAGUUAUUUUGGCAUGGAUGAUUGGUCACUCAAUGUUACGUUAUGAACAACAUUUGAGAAUGAAUGGAAGAAAAAGUUUUAAAUGGUAGAGAAAUAACCAAGGCGCAGCGAUUAGAUUGAUUUUACCCUAAAAUCUGUCUUUUAAAAUCAAGUACAGUGAUAAUGGCUUCAUAUCAGCAAGAUGGAAAGAUUUGUAUCUCAACCAUCUUUAAUAUUACUAUUAUUGGUUAACAAUAACAAAAAUAGAAAAGAAACGGAUGGCAGAAGUAAAGAGGAAUUUCAGCCUUAAUCUAAACUCUGAACUUCUGCAAAAAAGAACGAAGAUGGUUAUUGGUUAUUAUUUCAUGAAAACAUAUCUUUGCAAGAGCGUAUUUAAAGGCUACAUGCUGAUUGUAGACAAAAGUCUGUUGGCAGCUAUAAACGGAUGGAAACAAAUAGAAAAAGUUAACAAAGCAGGAAUCAUUGUGUGUACAGUAAGCUGCUACCGCUACUUGUCCCAGAAGUUCGUAGCAACCGUCUGAUGCUGCAAUCCCACAGGUGUUCUCGUUCUUUGCGAAUGUGUAUAGAAGGGAAGCCUUCACCUUCAGCUCCGUCGAUAGUAAAAGAACAGUAGGAGUGUAAGUAGCAGUGAUGAUCGGAAGACGAAAAACCACCAAUUGACCAGAUUUGUAAUCACUUUUUGCUUGCGCGAAAGACACUCUGCGCGUGGAUUUGAACUCAACGGCUUCGACGUUUGUGAAUUUUCGCGAAAGCGCGAUGCGAAGAACUGAACAACGGCAGGUUCGGUCGAGUUGGGUACCAGCAAGGAGGAGGAACCUGCGUGGGUCCGUACGUUCGAGCGGAUACAGUGUGAUGGUUCCAACCAUAUUUCUGCUGCUGAUAUACUCUCAGAGUUAGUGCCCCGACCACCUCUACCACCAAUAAAAACGAGGAAUCGAAUUGUUCGGUGGACUAAGGCAACGAAAGUAGGGGGCUUUCGGUUCAUGUACUUAUUUUUGAUUUACCUUAAUUUGUGCAAUUAUAUGAUUAACACCUUGUAAUAUUUAUAGUAAUAAAAAGAUUUUUUGAUUAAAAAAUUGUGGUUCGUGGUACACUUUGAGCUUUAAAAAGU
This 1790-nucleotide long non-coding RNA is filed under the name Onthophagus taurus. RNAcentral describes it as "uncharacterized LOC111415048, transcript variant X2". Lineage: Eukaryota; Metazoa; Arthropoda; Insecta; Coleoptera; Scarabaeidae. The record is from RNAcentral.